This 407-nucleotide ribosomal RNA is filed under the name Typhlops jamaicensis. Its description in RNAcentral is "partial 16S ribosomal RNA". It matches the Rfam family "Bacterial large subunit ribosomal RNA", at positions 1968 to 2594 of the family's 2925-position model. The record is from RNAcentral. Lineage: Eukaryota; Metazoa; Chordata; Lepidosauria; Squamata; Typhlopidae.
UUUGUCCACUAAUUAUGGACCCGUAUGAAAGGCCACAUGAGAAUCUAACUGUCUCCUGUAACCAAUUUAUAAAACUGAUCUUCCAGUCCAAAAGCUGGAAUACACUUAUAAGACGAGAAGACCCUGUGAAGCUUAAAAAAUCCUAUUAAACCUAGUAAUAGGUAUUUUUAGUUGGGGCAACUUUGGAAAAUAAUUUAACUUCCAAAAAUAAAACAAUAUUACACCAAGACCUACAAGUCAAUUAAGACCCAGUAUAACUGAUAAGUGGACCAAGUUACUCCAGGGAUAACAGCGCAAUCUUCUUCAAGAGCCCAUAUCAAAAGGAAGGUUUACGACCUCGAUGUUGGAUCAGGACACCCAAAUGGCGCAGCCGCUAUUAAAGGUUCGUUUGUUCAACGAUUAACAGU